This 332-nucleotide ribosomal RNA is filed under the name Stenotrophomonas maltophilia. Its description in RNAcentral is "bacterial SSU rRNA". It matches the Rfam family "Bacterial small subunit ribosomal RNA", at positions 1 to 329 of the family's 1533-position model. The record is from RNAcentral. Lineage: Bacteria; Pseudomonadati; Pseudomonadota; Gammaproteobacteria; Lysobacterales; Lysobacteraceae.
UAAGUGAAGAGUUUGAUCCUGGCUCAGAGUGAACGCUGGCGGUAGGCCUAACACAUGCAAGUCGAACGGCAGCACAGGAGAGCUUGCUCUCUGGGUGGCGAGUGGCGGACGGGUGAGGAAUACAUCGGAAUCUACUCUGUCGUGGGGGAUAACGUAGGGAAACUUACGCUAAUACCGCAUACGACCUACGGGUGAAAGCAGGGGACCUUCGGGCCUUGCGCGAUUGAAUGAGCCGAUGUCGGAUUAGCUAGUUGGCGGGGUAAAGGCCCACCAAGGCGACGAUCCGUAGCUGGUCUGAGAGGAUGAUCAGCCACACUGGAACUGAGGCAAGG